AUGCAACCUACCUUUAACAGGGGAAUAGCCCCGAGAAAUCGGGAUUAAUACUCCGUAACAUUGCGGUGUGGCAUCACACUGCAAUUAAAGAUUUAUCGGUUAAAGAUGGGCAUGCGUGACAUUAGCUAGUUGGUGAGGUAACGGCUCACCAAGGCAACGAUGUCUAGGGGUCCUGAGAGGGUUAUCCCCCACACUGGUACUGAGACACUGACCAGACUCCUACGGGAGGCAGCAGUAAGGAAUAUUGGUCAAUGGGCGCAAGCCUGAACCAGCCAUGCCGCGUGCAGGAAGACGGCCCUAUGGGUUGUAAACUGCUUUUGUCAGGGAAUAAACCCCCGCUCGUGAGCGGGGCUGAAGGUACCUGAAGAAUAAGCAUCGGCUAACUCCGUGCCAGCAGCCGCGGUAAUA
Molecule: ribosomal RNA, 408 nt
Filed under: uncultured bacterium
Lineage: Bacteria
Description: bacterial SSU rRNA
Rfam family: Bacterial small subunit ribosomal RNA
Source: RNAcentral